UGGCAGCAUACCUGUUUUUCCUUGCAGGGAAAUAACAGACAUGUUGAACAGGUGACCAAUCAACAUUAUACCAAUCUCCUCGUCAGUACUGCUAUACUAUCCAGUUUCUCGUUCAGGAGAAAAUAUCCUCUUACAUAAAUUGGGCGGUGAGGAUUGAAACUGUGACAUAUUUUGCCAAAUAUGGACGAGGCUACCUCCCUAGCCUUCUUCCUCUUUUGGAAAUUGAACUUGUUCUUCUGGUACAGAGAGUUAUCCCAUUGACGUUGCAUGCAAUGUGGUCCUCAUCCCUCUGCAUAUAUAGUCAUAGACAGGAUCAUCGUCAGAGGACAUUUGAUAUCAAAUUCGGCACACAAAUUUUACAUAGCAUUUAGUUAUUGUCUCAAAAUAGAAAAAUAAAGAUAAUAAAAUAAAAAUAUAUUUGAGAGAAGAGAUAAAAAUAUGUUCUUUUGAUAAUUUUGGAGUGAUUUUGUAUAAUUUCAAAACAAGAUAUGUAGAGGA
This is a long non-coding RNA of Populus nigra (black poplar), 498 nucleotides long. RefSeq lists it as uncharacterized. The record is from RefSeq and is a predicted model, not a curated record. The transcript is spliced from 2 exons. Lineage: Eukaryota; Viridiplantae; Streptophyta; Magnoliopsida; Malpighiales; Salicaceae.